This 547-nucleotide long non-coding RNA is filed under the name Rhinolophus ferrumequinum (greater horseshoe bat). Its description in RNAcentral is "lncRNA (ENSRFEG00010018964.1)". Lineage: Eukaryota; Metazoa; Chordata; Mammalia; Chiroptera; Rhinolophidae. The record is from RNAcentral.
CGUUGCUAGUUGCAGGGGGCGCAGCCCACCAUCCCUGCGGGAGACGAACCGGCAACCUUGUGGUUGAGAGGAUGCGCUCCAACCAACUGAGCCAUCCGGGAGCUCAGCGGCAGCUCAGCUCAAGGUGCCGUGUUCAAUCUUAGUUGCAGGGGGCACUGCCCACCAUCCCUUGCGGGACUCGAGGAAUCGAACCGGCAGCCUUGUGGUUGAGAGCCCACUGGCCCAUGUGGGAAUUGAACCGGCAGCCUUUGGAGUUAGGAGCAUGGAGCUCUAACCGCCUGAGCCACCGGGCCGACCCCCAAGCUUCAGUGUUAACAGUCACAAGCCCGCCCAUGCUGCAGAGAAACUGGCUGUUACUCCCACUUCUGGAUGUCACAUUUCCUGUUUGUGUGCCUGGACUGAGUGAGGGAGACCUGGUGGUGAAGGGCAACGGGAGGACAGAGGCCUUCUUACAGGUUUACACACUGCUGAGCUGUGGUUAACCAGCCUGGAGCCUCUAAUUCCACUGGCCUGUAGAGUGUCCGCUGGAGGCAGCUAGGGGGGAUGA